Helianthus annuus (common sunflower) is the source of this 496-nucleotide long non-coding RNA. RefSeq lists it as uncharacterized. The transcript is spliced from 3 exons. The record is from RefSeq and is a predicted model, not a curated record. NCBI's taxonomy places the organism in Eukaryota, Viridiplantae, Streptophyta, Magnoliopsida, Asterales, Asteraceae.
UCUUAGACUUUCUAACUUGUACAGAUCCUUGGGUGCCUCUAGAGUACUGUCUUCCAGGUCAUGGGCGUAGCAUAGUGGGGGCCGAGGGGGAGAGGGGGCGCCCGACCCCCCUAACUUUUCGCUCAGUAGUGUCCGGUAUAAUUUUAGGUUCGGUGACUUUCGACCCCCUUGUCGGAAAUCUCAAACUUCGCCACUGUACGAGAGUUAAAGCCAACUUACCACGGAUGCAAGUUGCUGUUGUGAGCAAGACUGCGUAACUUCCUAAUGAUCAAGACUGCGUACUAAUGCUACUUGCUACCACCAAAGUAGUUGUCAUUGUGUCGCAUUCAAGUCGUUGUCAAGGUAUACUCUAAUAACGUCAUCAAAGGUACAAAAGGAAGGCUUUUAAUGGAUAUCAUAUGCGAUUGAUGAGCGAUUAACCAUGGAAAAUACUGAGAGCGAUUAAAGAGAGUCUUCUAAGUAUUUGCAAUAUUUUGUAAUUGUUUUCUGUAUUGUG